RNAcentral lists this ribosomal RNA (265 nucleotides) under uncultured archaeon. RNAcentral's name for it is "partial 16S ribosomal RNA". It matches the Rfam family "Archaeal small subunit ribosomal RNA", at positions 719 to 982 of the family's 1478-position model. The record is from RNAcentral.
ACACGACUACAUUAGAUACCCGUGUAGUCCUAGCCGUAAACGAUACUCGCUAGGUGUCGGCCACGGUGCGACCGUUGUCGGUGCCGUAGGGAAGCCGUGAAGCGAGCCACCUGGGAAGUACGGCCGCAAGGCUGAAACUUAAAGGAAUUGGCGGGGGAGCACCACAUCGGGUGGAGCUUGCGGUUUAAUUGGAUUCAACGCCGGAAAUCUUACCGGGACCGACAGCAACAUGAAGGCCAGGCUGAAGACUUUGCCGGAUUAGCUG